UAAAUAAAAGUACAGAUUAACCCAUUGUAACAGGGUUAUAACAUGGAAAACUUCUCACAUUUGUACCAAGGUUAGAUUUGAGCUAAUCACCCUAGCUAACAGGCACCAGUUCAAUAAUGAAACAUAUUUGCAUUGCCUUUAAAAAGUUCAUUCCUUAACAACAGGUGCUGUUUACUGACAUUCCUGAUCCAGUAUUACCAUAGUAUGACAUCAUGACUUGUCAUCCCUAAAUGAGAUGGCCAAAUUCACCUGUUUUUGCCUCUGAUACCCUAUAUUUACUGCUGAUUGGACACCAUGAUGGACUUUUUGCAUAAAAGAAAAAAAUAAAUGUAUGAUUUAUGAUUUUGAUUAUUAGAUAGGGUAGAGUCAUGAGAUAACUUUAAAGAGAUACAUUUAUAAUUGUACUUAUAACUGCUAUAAAGAAGAUUGGAAACCACUUCUUUGUAUCUUUUUUCUUUUCUAUUUUUCCUUUCGCUUUUCUUUCUUGCUUGCAGUUUUAGCUUUCUUUGAUUUUUUCCCCUUCCUUAUUAUAAUUACUUUGCAUUAGUUGUUACCUUUGUUUUUAAAACUUUAUACAUACAUACGUCAGUACAAAAUGUUAAUGAGAAAAUUAAAAAAAUUAACUUUUGUAAAGGCUCCACCAUUGUUUUAUGGCUAGCAGAAACCAACUGUACUUCACCUUCAUUUUCAAUUUUUGUACUGGCCCAUGGAAAUAUUAAAUAGUUG
Molecule: non-coding RNA, 726 nt
Organism: Notechis scutatus (mainland tiger snake)
Lineage: Eukaryota; Metazoa; Chordata; Lepidosauria; Squamata; Elapidae
Source: RefSeq, a predicted model, not a curated record